RNAcentral lists this long non-coding RNA (646 nucleotides) under Homo sapiens (human). Its description in RNAcentral is "long independently transcribed non-coding RNA 2710 (LINC02710)". The record is from RNAcentral. Lineage: Eukaryota; Metazoa; Chordata; Mammalia; Primates; Hominidae.
AUGACAUGGCUAAAUGGUUCUUUAGGAAGAAGAGUCAGGCGCCUCUGGAAGGGAUGGUUUGGCCUACAGAGAGAAAACAGAGAGAAUGGGCAAGGGGUCAUCGAUGGACCGGAGAUGGGAUGGUAGGGACAGAAACUGCAGGGUCCGCAGAAGGAACUGCUCACCGAAAGCCAACAAGCUUGCCCUGUGGAAUCCCAGAAAGGCCCAGGAACUUCGGGACAUCACUGAAGGCAGAGUGAAGAGAGGAAGAGAAGACAGAGAAAUGGAGGGGAGAAAACUAUUAAAAUAAGUAAUAAGAAAACUUUCCCCAGAAGUGCAGAAUCUGAAUUUCCAGUAUAAAAGGGUCCAUUGAGCGCCAAGAACAAUGAAGGAAAAAAGGUCCCACUCAGGCCUACGUAUCAUUGUGAAAUUUCAGAACUAGAGGGAUAAAGAAAAGAUCCUAAAAGCUUCCCGAGAGAUAAAAAAGAAGAUUUUUACAAAGGAUCAGCAAUCAGAAUUGCCUCAGACUGCUCAAUAAAAACAUCAGAAGCUAGAAGAAAAUAGAAUGAGGCAUCAAAAUCCUGAGGGAAAUGAUUCCCACCUAUAAUUUCAUAUUCUGCUCAAUUAUCAAUUGAGUAUUGAAGGGAAAUAAAGACAUUUUUAGACA